RNAcentral lists this long non-coding RNA (471 nucleotides) under Ananas comosus (pineapple). RNAcentral's name for it is "long non-coding RNA (ACOM_LNC026222)". The record is from RNAcentral. Lineage: Eukaryota; Viridiplantae; Streptophyta; Magnoliopsida; Poales; Bromeliaceae.
UAAGAGGAAGAAGGAGGAGGAGGAAGAAGAAAAGAAAGAGAAAUGAUAUAAAUUUUACCCAAAGAAUAUAACUUUUCUUUAAAGAGUGUAACUUUCAUCCCAAAGAGUGUAAUUUCUGUCUCAAACAGUGCAACUUUCAUUUAAAAUUGUGCAAAAUUUUUUAAAAUAGUAUAACUUUAUUUUAACAGUGCAAUUUCAUCUUCUUCCUUCUUUUAUGAUUUUUUAUCUUUUUUGUAGAAAAAAAAUAUUUUUUAUUUUUAUUUUUUAUUAUUCUUAUUUUUUCCAUUUAUUUUUGGUUACGACCUCUCUCUUGCCCUCUAUCGCAGCCACCGCCCUCGCCGGAGUGUAACUAUUUUUCUUCUCCUCCCCGCCAGCGUGCUUCUUGGCCCAGAGAAGCACUUCCUCUUCGUCGCCAGCGACAGCGAUGGGGGCGACGGGUUUGUUUGACGGAUAGAAAAUUUGCUGUAGUGA